RNAcentral lists this ribosomal RNA (301 nucleotides) under uncultured bacterium. Its description in RNAcentral is "partial 16S ribosomal RNA". It matches the Rfam family "Bacterial small subunit ribosomal RNA", at positions 509 to 807 of the family's 1533-position model. The record is from RNAcentral.
CAGUCGCCACGGUAAUACGUAAGGGGCAAGCGUUAUCCGGAAUUACUGGGUGUAAAGGGAUCGUAGACGGUUAAACAAGUCUGAAGUGAAAUGCCGGGGCUCAACCCCGGAGCUGCUUUGGGAACUGUAGAACUGGAGUGUCGGAGGGGUAAGCGGAAUUCCCAGUGUAGCGGUGAAAUGCGUAGAUAUUGGGAGGAACACUGGCGGCGAAGGCGGCUUACUGGACGACAACUGACGUUGAGGCUCGAAGGCGUGGGUAGCAAACUGGAUUAGAUACCCCUGUAGUCCCUGUCUCUUAUAC